GGCGAACCUGCCCUCACCUUCAUCCUUCUCUUCCUCAUUACUCUGCUUUUCACCAUUGCAACUACUGCUUUCAAGGUUAAAUGAGGUGAACUUUCUGUAGAAUGUAUUUUCACAGUGUUUUUGCAUACAUUCAGAGUAUCAUGUAAGUAACCGUCUUUGUCCUUUAUUUUAUUACAAAAAACCAUGUCAUUAUGAUGUUUUUAAAAUAUUAACCAUUGACAUUGAAACUGCAAUAUUUUUCUCUUUUUCAAACUGUACUAUCUAUCAUUUCCACCACGAACAUUUUUGUCACAUAAUAAUCCUAUUUGUACAAUGUCUUGUUUUGAGCAAUCUGCAUUUGUGUGAUUUGUUUUUUCAAGUAAUAAAUUGCAUUUCUGUUAAUGACUUUUCCAGAAUCUUUUAAUGAACAACCCAUGAGAGAUUCAAGACAUGAAUGUGAACAUUUUACAGUUGCUUAUGUUCUUGAAUCUAUUAUUAAACCUUUAGCAAAGUUUGAAACCUAUUUAAUCAUGCAUGUAAAAUGAUAUGAGAUAUUUAAAUGUUAGUUCUGUUUCUUUUACUGGCAUAACCACACCUCACACCUGGUCUCUGUGAUGCACGGUUGCUCUUGUCUUUGUUUCACUUCUGUAAUUUGGUGCUUUUUUGAGAGCUGGGUGUUACUCAAUGCUUCCGCCUGCUGCUUACCCUGACCCCUCUGCCCUGUCAUACCGCCACAUCUGUGCAACAGACUCCCAGCCUUAUCUCCAAAUAACUUUUAAGAUACAAUUUAAAGGUACAACUCUGCCAUCUAGCCUGAAAAAAAGAUAUUACACUUAGUAUUGAGACAAACCUGAUUAUCUGGAGAACCGCUGGUUGUAUCUCCAAACAUCACAUUACAACCUGUCUGGGAAGGUGAAUUCAAAGCCUCAGGGGUCAGACUCAUCUGCACCUUGAGUG
Labrus bergylta (ballan wrasse) is the source of this 936-nucleotide non-coding RNA. NCBI's taxonomy places the organism in Eukaryota, Metazoa, Chordata, Actinopteri, Labriformes, Labridae. The record is from RefSeq and is a predicted model, not a curated record.